Molecule: microRNA precursor, 105 nt
Filed under: Canis lupus familiaris (dog)
Lineage: Eukaryota; Metazoa; Chordata; Mammalia; Carnivora; Canidae
Also listed under: 1 other name
Description: mir-8834 microRNA precursor family
Rfam family: mir-8834 microRNA precursor family
Source: Rfam by way of RNAcentral
AGGAGGAACAACCCCAGUGGCGGGGCCAGCUCUGCAGCCCUGGAGUCAGCCCCCGCAGUAGCUCCAGAGCUCUCGGUCUGCAGGGCCUGGAGGCUCCGGGGCGGG